Molecule: ribosomal RNA, 229 nt
Filed under: uncultured Desulfocapsa sp.
Lineage: Bacteria; Pseudomonadati; Thermodesulfobacteriota; Desulfobulbia; Desulfobulbales; Desulfocapsaceae
Description: partial 16S ribosomal RNA
Rfam family: Bacterial small subunit ribosomal RNA
Source: RNAcentral
UGUCGAAACCGGAGGGAAGGUGGGGAUGACGUCAAGUCCUCAUGGCCUUUAUGACCAGGCUACACACGUACUACAAUGGCCGGUACAAAGGGCAGCCACUUAGCGAUAAGGAGCCAAUCCCGUAAAGCCCGGUCUCAGUCCGGAUUGGAGUCUGCAACUCGACUCCAUGAAGUUGGAAUCGCUAGUAAUCGCAGAUCAGCACGCUGCGGUGAAUACGUUCCCGGGCCUU